This is a long non-coding RNA of Musca domestica (house fly), 954 nucleotides long. RefSeq lists it as uncharacterized. The record is from RefSeq and is a predicted model, not a curated record. NCBI's taxonomy places the organism in Eukaryota, Metazoa, Arthropoda, Insecta, Diptera, Muscidae. The transcript has 2 exons.
UGAAAACUAAAGGAAAAACUAAUAUUUGUCGUGCAAAAAACAAAAAGAGAAAAUAUGGAGCAACUGAUGUAUUCACUUUUGGAUGAUUCCAGCAGUGAAGAGGACUGGCUGAAUGAGGAAUCUGAUUAGUAAUUAUUAUUAUAAAUUAUUAAUUUUAACUUAUCGUCUUCAAUACUCAUUUUUUAAAUGUUGGCGCCCUUUUCAGUAAGGUUUCACCAGUCCGGUUUAGGCUGUUUACUUUUGGAACUUUGAAUUUUGACAUUUUAUCGCAUUUCUGCUAAUUUUCCGUUCCCUUAUUUUUUGAGCAAACCUAAAUGGGAAUGACAUUUCGAACUGUUCUCUCUUCUGCUAGUUUUACUACUAAAAAAGUACUGGAACACAACUUUAGCUACAUGAAUUUGGCCGAGCAGAAAUGUGCAAAUUGUAAAUUUGACAUUUAAUUGGUAGGGCUAACAAGGUUGAAAAAUGUAUUGAUACAUUUCAAUGUUCGCGCGUCACAACAAAUGUAAAGAAAAGAGAUAAACUUAAAAACUAAAGUAAAACUAAUAUUUGUCGUACAAAAAACAAAAGGAGGAAAUAUGGAGCAACUGAUGUAUUCACUUUUGGAUGAUUCCAGUAGUGAAGAGGACUGCCUGAAAGAGGAAUCAGACGAAGAAAACGUAUUGGAAAACAGUGCAAAAUUAGGUUGGCUGUCUUCCCAACUUGUGGCAUUAAGUCUUCUAGCAGACUUAUAGUACGUUUAUAUAUAUGAGGGUUAACCCACUGGAUUUGGAUUUAAAUUGUCAAAUCCAUUACUUUUACUUCAAAUAAAUCCUCUCAAAGAAGGUUAACCCUACAAAAAGUUUUAACGUAAACAUGGCAUUAACAUUAACAAACAUGUCAGUUUCUCCGGGGUGGGGAUUUGAUAAAACUCCUAAAAAAACAAAUUUCUAAAUAAACAGCAUUCAAAAAUAA